UACGAAGGGGGCUAGCGUUGCUCGGAAUCACUGGGCGUAAAGGGCGCGUAGGCGGCCAUUCAAGUCAGAGGUGAAAGCCCAAGGCUCAACCUUGGAACUGCCUUUGAUACUGUUUGGCUUGAGACCGGUAGAGGUAAGUGGAACUGCGAGUGUGGAGGUGAAAUUCGUAGAUAUUCGCAAGAACACCAGUGGCGAAGGCGGCUUACUGGACCGGUUCUGACGCUGAGGCGCGAAAGCGUGGGGAGCAAACAGG
RNAcentral lists this ribosomal RNA (253 nucleotides) under uncultured bacterium. RNAcentral's name for it is "partial 16S ribosomal RNA". It matches the Rfam family "Bacterial small subunit ribosomal RNA", at positions 524 to 776 of the family's 1533-position model. The record is from RNAcentral.